Cyprinus carpio (common carp) is the source of this 3333-nucleotide long non-coding RNA. RefSeq lists it as uncharacterized. Lineage: Eukaryota; Metazoa; Chordata; Actinopteri; Cypriniformes; Cyprinidae. The transcript has 5 exons. The record is from RefSeq and is a predicted model, not a curated record.
CUACUGUUGUUAUUGCUACUACUUGUUAAUCCGGUAAUCAUAGUAAACAUCAGAAUUUAGAUUGAGGAGGUUCGUUGGUUAGCAGUAGAAGGCAAACUCUUUGUGAGGCCAAGGUAUUUAGGACACUUUAUCUGGAAAAUGUUGGAAAAGUUUUGUUUCAGAAUACCUAAUGUGGUGUAUCUUCUGGUGAGUCGUGCACCUUCUCUGUACAUACCUUUCAGGAGGAACCAUGGCUUGUUUGUUUUUGUCUGGUAUGGGAAAAAUUACUUUGAAAAGUCAUCCAGAGAAGCAAAAACAUAAAACACCUUUCUAGUUAAUUAACCCAAAUCCUUUCAGCGUGGUUUCACCCUGUUUUAAAAGCUUGAAACUUGACCAUUAACCUCAAAAUGGAUGAGAGAGCACUCUCUCUUCUGCUUUUUUCUUCUCCAGCAAAAUGUGACAUAAAAAGCCUGUGAAAUGAAAUGAUGAGUUUAAAACGUCUUUUUGAGGCAAACCCAAUUAGGGCUCGCACAGUUUUUUUCCACCUCACAAAAAGCCUUACAUUAGGAUGAGGGCUAGUUAUUAGUUCCGCAGUCGUUAUUUUACAAAUCAUUUCUGUUUGCCUUCCACACACUGUGGCAGAGAGUGGGCUCCAAUUAGAAAGGCAUUAAAACAGCAACCAGGACUUAGCUGCAUUACACCCAGCAAUGACAUUCCACCUGCCAUUAUGUUAUUAGCAAAAAGCUGGAUCGAGAGAGGAAAAAAGGCUUUUAAUUGAAAAUAAAGAGAAAUAAAGGCAUUUUGAAAGUAGCAGCUGUUAGCUUGCAGAUCUCUCAGCAGCUGUUGCUGUCAAGUCUGAAUCUGGGCCUAUUCACCCCAAAUCUCUCUCUCCUGAAUGACCAUGUAGUGCUGGCUGGUCCUUCGCUUUGUUCAGCCUUAAUGCCGCUUUUCAAAAUGAGCUCUGUGGUAAUGCCGUGUGUUUUCAGACUGGACUGGGAACAACAGUAAUACAUUUGAAAGUAAAAUCUGUACUGGAACUUUGAAAUCAUGUUUCAUUGAUAUGUUGACAUUUAGUGUGCACAUAAAAACAAUAAACUCUGAUUUGACUUUUCAAUGGCUUUGUCACUUGCAAUGACAGAUGGACUAGGAAGGACACUCUGCGCACUAUAUGUGCAUUGAUGGGUCAUCUGUCAUUUGAUUUGGGUCAUUGUUUGUGGUGGCACGAGGUUCUGGACCACAGCCCAAUAAAUUCCCACAGACACCUUAACAGCUAUUAUCCCAUACGCACAAAUGGACAUCAGCAUCCUUCAGGUUUAUUUUCCAACUGUGUGUUCAAAGCAACACUGGUCUAACGGGAUAUCAAUUUAUUGAAUAUUUAUACUUAAGUCUAAUUAUUAGUGGUUUUUGUGUGACCCUUUCUGCAGGUUAUAUCCUCAUUCCACUGGGUGGCGACAAGUGACUGUCUUUUUUGAGCGAGUCUUUGAAUCAAUUUGUUCAAACACACUGACUCAUUCAGGAUCGAGCAAGCGACUGUAGUGAGUGAUUGAAUCAUGAAUCAUUUACUCAACUGAUCUGUUCAAAAUAUUGAUUCAUUCAGAGUGGAAUCUCAAAGAACCAUUCACUCAUCAGAUUCGUUCAAAACACUUUUUAGUCAGGAACGAACGAAACACCUCCAUUUUUUAUGAGUGAUUAAAUUAUGCAAAUUUGUUCAGUUCAAUCAGAAACCAAUGAAAGAAGCUGCAGUCUCAAAAAUUCGCUCAUUUGAUUCGUUCAAACACAAUGAUUCAAUUUGGAACGAACGAAACAAGCGACCUCUAAUGAGUGAGUGUUUGAUUCAUUCACUCAUCCGGUUCCUUCAAAACACUGAUUCAUUUAGGAAGGAAACAGCUACUGACUCAAACUGUGGAUUUGUUUGGAUGUAUUUCCUUUGGCACAGAGAAAACAAAGUACCUGCAAAUAUGACAUCUAAAAUGUUCACAAGAUCGGAACAACAUUUGAACAUGUUUGUGUGUUGUAAACAUGCAUCCAUUCACAUAUGUGCCCUCUCAGACGUGUGGAUCGGACCAGGGGCUUUCCAGCCCACCCCCCUCAUGAAGUGGCCUUUCGACUGCGAAGAACUCUUUAUAGAAAACGGAGCGGUGCUUUCAUAACCCCCUAAUCCCCCCAAAAAUAAAAGAUGCCAGGGGGCAAAGAUUGUGGAGGGUCCCGGUAUUCUGCUAAUGGAAGUGAUUGACAUCUGGCUAUCUGUUGUGGAAAUCUCGCAGCCUCUUUGCCCAAACCACAUCUCUUUUUCUGUUUACUGGACGAACAGCAAGACACAGACAGACGGGUGGCAUGAGUCAGAGUCAUAUGCUGUUAUUUACUCUGUGGAAGGAAAGGAAGAAAGGAAUGAGGUUGACGACAUAUGGGCCAAUCUGUGGAGAGGAGAAAGCGGGAUGGAGGAAGAGAUUGUGCAGGAGUAGGAGUGGAAGGUGCUGAUGCUGGGUUGAAUAAGUCUUGAUAUUAUUGGAUGAAUGGAUGAUUUUAUGCCUGUUAAUAUAUGCUACCUUUUGUGCUUUAGAAUUCGACCCUUAAAGCUGCAGUGUGUUUUUUUCUACUACACCCAAAUUCUAAAAAAUAGUUUUCAAACAGGUUUCCCCAAACACACCUGUAUGCCAUUGUUCAGACCAGUGUUGAAAGUGUCACAGUAUUUGCACUUUUCCCUAUGAAUGGCUUCCUUCACUGAGAUCUCAUCGUUCAUGAUUGUUGUGAUUUUUAGAUAAAGUGUUGUUCCAGCACACAUACAUUUAUGUUCCUUUGUAUAGACACUAUGAUUAACAUUUAAUGAAUUGGUAGAAUCUUAAACUUAGUUUUAGGUUAAUAGGUUUUAGGUCAAUAGAAUGUUAUAAAAUGGAAUUAAUUGGUUGGUUUAAUCAAUGAGUUUAAAUAAAUAUAUUCAGUGGCAUGACGUAAUUUGAAAAUUUCAUAGUUUAAUUCUGUAUGCAAUUUCUGGUACAUCAAUUUUAUCAAUUUUUAACUUGCAAUGAUACAUUAGUGUCAGUUUUAUACAUGAUGUACAUGUACAGAUGUGUAAAGAUUUUACCCUUUCCAAAGCUGUUUAUGCGCAAAUGCUUUUGUGUUUUAUAUGCUUGUCAAUACUUCCAUAUUGUAUGUAAUAUUUAGAUGAACUGAACAAAUAAGGAGCCAAAAUAAGACACUGAACACAAUGCUAGGGGCUGAUCACCAUUAGACCUUUCAUUCACGUGUUUGUUUAGACUCCAGGUCAUUUUGUUCCAAUAGCGUUGCUUAGUAAGUCGUGUCUGUGUCUGUUAAUGACAAUGCUAGCAUAAAAUUAUAUAAAAAACAUUCUCCAAA